AUGGCUCAGGAUGAACGCUAGCGGCAGGCUAACACAUGCAAGUCGAGGGGCAGCGCGAGGUAGCAAUACUUUGGCGGCGACCGGCGGAAGGGUGCGUAACGCGUGAGCAACAUGCCCGUAUGAGGGGGAUAGUCAUUGGAAACGAUGCGUAAUACCCCGUAACAACAAGGAUCGCAUGGUCCAUGUUUGAAAGAUUCAUCGCAUACGGAUUGGCUCGCGUGACAUUAGCUAGUUGGCGGGGUAACGGCCCACCAAGGCGACGAUGUCUAGGGGAACUGAGAGGUUGGUCCCCCACACUGGAACUGAGACACGGUCCAGACUCCUACGGGAGGCAGCAGUGAGGAAUAUUGGUCAAUGGGCGGAAGCCUGAACCAGCCAUGCCGCGUGAAAGGAAUAAGGCCCUAUGGGUCGUAAACUUCUUUUGACGGGGAGCAAUAAGGGCGUCGCGCACGUCCGAUGAGAGUACUCGUCGAAUAAGCAUCGGCUAACUCCGUGCCAGCCGCCGC
RNAcentral lists this ribosomal RNA (506 nucleotides) under uncultured bacterium. RNAcentral describes it as "bacterial SSU rRNA". It matches the Rfam family "Bacterial small subunit ribosomal RNA", at positions 19 to 518 of the family's 1533-position model. The record is from RNAcentral.